UCUACAGCCCAUAGCACCAUGAACGCACCUGACCUCGUCUGAUCUUGGAAGCUAAGUGGGGUCAGUCCUGGCUAGUACUUGGAAGCAAGAGUCCUCCAGGUGGAGGGAAAA
Molecule: ribosomal RNA, 111 nt
Organism: Bos mutus (wild yak)
Lineage: Eukaryota; Metazoa; Chordata; Mammalia; Artiodactyla; Bovidae
Source: Ensembl